This 417-nucleotide long non-coding RNA is filed under the name Numida meleagris (helmeted guineafowl). RNAcentral's name for it is "lncRNA (ENSNMEG00000009381.1)". Lineage: Eukaryota; Metazoa; Chordata; Aves; Galliformes; Numididae. The record is from RNAcentral.
GAAAAAUCCAUCACGCUUCCUCACCAGCCCAGCUCUGCUUUGCUUAUGAGCUCUGACAAGAUCACAGCUUGAGCACUGAGGAGGAACAUUACAAUAUAGAGAAUGCUACUGAGGCCAGACCAAGGGAAGCAAAGAAGGGAACAGUAGCAAUCAACACAAAGCUAGGACAUCUGGUGGAGGCAGAACAACAUGUAAGCAAAUACCUUCCUGCUUCAUGACUGAAAACGUGUUUGUGUUGGAAAGUGAGGAUUCUGCAGUUUUACAGAAAUCUAAGCCACUGAAUGCUUCAAGCAGUUUGCAAACCUAAUUAAUGGACAGUCUCAGCUAUUAAAAGAUUACUAGGCCUUCCAAAUCCAGGUGUCUGACAGUGUUUCAAUUGCUGGACUUCAGGGAUAAUAAACCGAAGGCUACACUUCA